RNAcentral lists this ribosomal RNA (492 nucleotides) under uncultured bacterium. RNAcentral describes it as "partial 16S ribosomal RNA". It matches the Rfam family "Bacterial small subunit ribosomal RNA", at positions 28 to 523 of the family's 1533-position model. The record is from RNAcentral.
GACGAACGCUGGCUGCGUGCUUAACACAUGCAAGUCGAACGCUGAAACCCCGGUGCUUGCACCGGGGUGGAUGAGUGGCGAACGGGUGAGUAACACGUGAGUAACCUGCCCCCGACUUCGGGAUAAGCCCGGGAAACUGGGUCUAAUACCGGAUAUGAGCGCCCCUCGCAUGAGGGAUGCUGGAAAGUCUUUUCGGUUGGGGAUGGGCUCGCGGCCUAUCAGUUUGUUGGUGAGGUAAUGGCUCACCAAGACGACGACGGGUAGCCGGCCUGGGAGGGCGAACAGCCACACUGGGACUGAGACACGGCCCAGACUCCUACGGGAGGUAGCAGUGGGGAAUAUUGCACAAUGGGGGAAACCCUGAUGCAGCGACGCAGCGUGCGGGAUGACGGCCUUCGGGUUGUAAACCGCUUUCAGCAGGGAAGAAGCCCCUUGGGGUGACGGUACCUGCAGAAGAAGUACCGGCUAACUACGUGCCAGCCGCCGCCGUAA